This 72-nucleotide transfer RNA is filed under the name Thermoplasmata archaeon. Its description in RNAcentral is "tRNA-Cys". It matches the Rfam family "tRNA". Rfam says of the family: Transfer RNA (tRNA) molecules are approximately 80 nucleotides in length. Their secondary structure includes four short double-helical elements and three loops (D, anti-codon, and T loops). RNAcentral also lists the same sequence under 1 other name. The record is from RNAcentral. Lineage: Archaea; Methanobacteriati; Thermoplasmatota; Thermoplasmata.
GCGGGGGUAGCAUAGGGGCGAUGCGGCGGACUGCAGAUCCGCAGAUCGGGAGUUCAAAUCUCUCCCCCCGCA